Long non-coding RNA from Prunus mume (Japanese apricot), 1086 nucleotides. RefSeq lists it as uncharacterized. The record is from RefSeq and is a predicted model, not a curated record. NCBI's taxonomy places the organism in Eukaryota, Viridiplantae, Streptophyta, Magnoliopsida, Rosales, Rosaceae.
AUGGAACCACAUGAAGGAAGCGAAAACGCACCAGACGCCUGAGCCUCAGCGACGGAAGGGAAGAAGAAGAAAAAGAAGAUGAUAUACCGGAAAUGGAGCCUGUUAACUGGACCAGUCGCGAUCUUGGGAGGCAUAGUAGGCACCGUAGUCGUCGGCCACUACCUUCUCAUUGAGAACGAUUGGAUGAAGUCGGAGCCCAGAAAGGCUGAAGCAUCCGCUUCAAGCAAAUAAGAGGAGGAAGGUGAAGAGUUGCAUUUUCAGUGCGACCCAAGCUUUUUAGCUUUCUGUCUAUAUAUCUUGAACAUGUUGUUCUACAAACUUGUGGUGAUGUUGCACUUUCAGAUGUGACUUGUUAGUUAAUAAUCCAGAAUUGAAAUGUGAGUUCUGAUUUGAAGGUUGUGGAGCAAAUUCCCUGCAUUUGUGUUCUCCGUUGUCCCAACAUUGCUUUGAUUUUGAAUCAAGCUAAGAAUCGAUGAAAUUCGAUUUGCUUUCGUUAUAAGUGCUUUCAUUUCAAGAGUUGAUGUGAUCAGUUUUUACCCUUUGGUUUAUUAGUUCAUUGUCUCCCAGCAAUAGUACUUAGAGAUAGAACUAGUGAGGCAGGGAGAGUGGUAAAUGGCUUCCUAAAGAUGAACUUUUGGAUUUCUACAUAAUGCUAGUAGUUUUGUUGUGUCAGGACGACUGGUAAAUAGACUGGUAAAUAGCUUCUUGAAUAUAAAUAUGCGUCCUUUUGCAUUCUUUUCUGUUCAGUAAAAACAGAUACUAGGCUUUUACAGAAAUGAAGGGAUUUUUAUCAUAGAUAAGUUAUGUGUAAUACAAAGGGUACAAGAUUUUGCAGCUUGGCCAAAGAAUCUGAAAUAGCAAAAAAAUAAAAAGUUCACACAUCGUUGCAAGCUCGCAAGCCUUCUCUACGUUUCAUGGCUUCCGGGUCAAUGGCUUCCCUGUUCUUUAAGGCACAGAAUUGCUCACAGGAUAAACAACCCCUGCAAAUGCUUAUGAAGUAUUUCCGAACCUUCAAUCCGAAAAACAAAACUUUGAUUCCGGCCAAGAAUUCUGAGAGGUCGAUAAGCCGAGGCAAGCACCAAUGCA